This 487-nucleotide long non-coding RNA is filed under the name Prunus persica (peach). RNAcentral describes it as "long non-coding RNA (PPER_LNC003944)". Lineage: Eukaryota; Viridiplantae; Streptophyta; Magnoliopsida; Rosales; Rosaceae. The record is from RNAcentral.
GCCUGUAUCGUGAGCUAGGGUUGGCUACAUAAAAGGCUAGGAGCGUCCAACUUGAUUGAAAAAAGUAUGAGAGUUCACAUUAGAGAUUGAGGAUUCGAAUGGACACAAAAGAUCUGCCAAAACAUGAAUUCAAAAAACUGAACCGAUUCAACAAUACUUAUCUGUAUCGUGAGCUAGCGUUAGCUAGGGUAAAGGCUAGGAGUGUCCAAUUUGAUUGGAAAAAAUAUGAGAGUUCACAUUAGAGAUUGAGGAUUCGAAUGGAUAAAAAAGAUCUGCCAAAACAUGAAUGAAAAAAACUGAACCGAUGCAACAAUACAUGUUUGUAGCGUGAGCUAGGGUUGGCUACAUCAAAUGCUAGGAGUGUCCAAUUUGAUUGGAAAAAGUAUGAGAAUUCAAAUUAGAGAUUCAGGAUUCGAAUGGACACAAAAGAUCUCCAAAACAGGAAUCAAAAUAUUGAACAUAUUCAACAAUACCCGCCUGUAUCGUG